Molecule: ribosomal RNA, 550 nt
Filed under: uncultured bacterium
Lineage: Bacteria
Description: bacterial SSU rRNA
Rfam family: Bacterial small subunit ribosomal RNA
Source: RNAcentral
UAGGGAAUCUUCGACAAUGGACGGAAGUCUGACCGAGCAACGCCGCGUGAGUGAAGAAGGUUUUCGGAUCGUAAAGCUCUGUUGUAAGAGAAGAACGAGUGUGAGAGUGGAAAGUUCACACUGUGACGGUAUCUUACCAGAAAGGGACGGCUAACUACGUGCCAGCAGCCGCGGUAAUACGUAGGUCCCGAGCGUUGUCCGGAUUUAUUGGGCGUAAAGCGAGCGCAGGCGGUUAGAUAGGUCUGAAGUUAAAGGCUGUGGCUUAACCAUAGUAGGCUUUGGAAACUGUUUAACUUGAGUGCAAGAGGGGAGAGUGGAAUUCCAUGUGUAGCGGUGAAAUGCGUAGAUAUAUGGAGGAACACCGGCGGCGAAAGCGGCUCUCUGGCUUGUAACUGACGCUGAGGCUCGAAAGCGUGGGGAGCAAACAGGAUUAGAUACCCUGGUAGUCCACGCUGUAAACGAUGAGUGCUAGGUGUUAGACCCUUUCCGGGGUUUAGUGCCGUAGCUAACGCAUUAAGCACUCCGCCUGGGGAGUACGACCGCAAGGUUG